CCUANGGGUGGCAGCAGUGGGGAAUCUUGCGCAAUGGGGGAAACCCUGACGCAGCAACGCCGCGUGGGUGAUGAAGGCCUUCGGGUCGUAAAGCCCUGUCAGGUGGGAAGAAACAUGCUGAUGCUAAUACCAUCAGCACUUGACGGUACCACCGGAGGAAGCACCGGCUAACUCCGUGCCAGCAGCCGCGGUAAUACGGAGGGUGCAAGCGUUGUUCGGAAUUAUUGGGCGUAAAGCGCGUGUAGGCGGUCUUAUAAGUCAGAUGUGAAAGCCUUCCGCUUAACGGGAGAAGUGCAUUUGAGACUAUAUGACUGGAGUACGGGAGAGGAGAGUGGAAUUCCCGGUGUAGAGGUGAAAUUCGUAGAUAUCGGGAGGAACACCAGUGGCGAAGGCGGCUCUCUGGCCUGAUACUGACGCUGAGACGCGAAAGCGUGGGGAGCAAACAGGAUUAGAUACCCGUNUANUC
This 466-nucleotide ribosomal RNA is filed under the name uncultured bacterium. Its description in RNAcentral is "bacterial SSU rRNA". It matches the Rfam family "Bacterial small subunit ribosomal RNA", at positions 338 to 795 of the family's 1533-position model. The record is from RNAcentral.